RNAcentral lists this ribosomal RNA (481 nucleotides) under uncultured bacterium. RNAcentral describes it as "bacterial SSU rRNA". It matches the Rfam family "Bacterial small subunit ribosomal RNA", at positions 28 to 507 of the family's 1533-position model. The record is from RNAcentral.
GAUGAACGCUGGCGGCGUGCCUAACACAUGCAAGUCGAGCGAGAAGCUUCUGAUGGAUUCUUCGGAAGAAAGAGGAAGUGGAAAGCGGCGGACGGGUGAGUAACGCGUAGGCAACCUGCCCCUUGCAGAGGGAUAGCCACUGGAAACGGUGAUUAGAACCUCAUAACACUUUACAUUCACAUGGAAGUAAAGCCAAAGAUUUAUCGGCAAGGGAUGGGCCUGCGUCUGAUUAGCUGGUUGGUGGGGUAACGGCUCACCAAGGCGACGAUCAGUAGCCGACCUGAGAGGGUGAUCGGCCACAUUGGAACUGAGACACGGUCCAAACUCCUACGGGAGGCAGCAGUGGGGAAUAUUGCACAAUGGGCGAAAGCCUGAUGCAGCAACGCCGCGUGAAGAAGAAGGUCUUCGGAUCGUAAACUUCUGUCCUAGGGGAAGAAGAACUGACGGUACCCUUGGAGGGAAGCCCCGGGCUAACUACGUG